CUGCCACAGAGCUUGUGGUGGUCAGCAGUGAGCCUGAGCCAGCUCAGGGAGGGUUGGAGUCUGGCUUGAGGAUUCUUCUGAAGCAGUUGACUAGCUGGCUUUUAUUGCAAGACAGAGAACACAAGAUCUCUUCACUGAUCCUGCAAGGAGCAGCCUUCGAUGGUGAGCAAAGAAGCAGUACCGCAGUCCCCUCUCGGGAGCAGCACCUGGCUCUAGAAUGCUGCCGUGAAUGUCUUCAACUCUCUGCAUUGUAUGUAUUGAAGAGAUUGGAUAUGCUGCACUUGCUGAUCUAAGUAUCCAUGGAAGGUUACAAGGAAAUGCUCCAACAUGCCCCAAGAAACUGCCACAACCAAUACACCCAAUAAAUAAUUCAACCAAGAGACCCAAGCCACUAUAAAUAAACCUAAAGCCCCAAUAAACCAACUUAUAAACCUGAAGCCUCCCAAAUAAACCACCACAACCAAUUAACCCAAAGCCCCAAUAAACCAACUAAUCCAAAGCCCCGAUAAACAAACCCACUGCCCAGCCAAUAAAGUGAAAUGCUCAUGAUGCAGCUUGUGGUAGAGACUUUUACUGACAGUGUCCUGAACUUGGUUUGUGCAGCAUCCAUGAUGGACACAACAGCCUCUGUUUUUCAGGAGGAGCCCCGGAAGGGGCAGAGAGAAGAACUAGCACAGGCCCAGCCCUGGCAGCAGCACGAUCAUCUAGAAUGCCAGAAACCAGCUCUGCUCCUCCCUGCCACUGUUAAUAUGUAUUUUGACUGGAAGUGUUUAGAUCUCUCUCUUGUGGCACACAUACCAUGGACGUAACCUUGGUCUCUUUUGCAGGAGCAGGCUUUGAAGGGGUUGAAAGAAGCAAGACCACGGUGCCUCCCUCAGCAGCUCUCUCUCUCUCUCUCUCUGGCAGUCGGCUCCUGGUGUUCUGCAGGGCAGCCUUGGAAGUGAUGGGAAGAAUUCGUGUGGUCCAUGAUGAAGGAAAACCAGGUUCUAGCUGGUCCAGGCCUGUGCACGUCGAUAGUUGGCAAUAAAUGCCCUGCCCUCUUUGCCCACGCUGGUGCACUCUUUUCCUUCUGUCAUGGGGCUGCAGCUGGCUAGGGAAUUGGUAGCAAAGGUUUGCCUCUCCCUGCGAUUUGUUGGAUGGGUGGCACGUUGUCCUCACCACCACCACCACCACAAACCAAUAAAUCCUAACCUGCAACUUCAGCCUGUUCAGCCAGCCCCUUGGACUCCCUCAGCCAGGAGUGAAGCAUAAGGCCACCCUGCUGCCAUCUGCCUUGACCCUCAUGCUGGGUCUCCCCCUCUUUGACUUUGAAGACUCCCUCUGAAGAAUAUGGCUACAAGCUCAUCUUUUUCCUCAAAGAAAAAUCUGUGUCUUCCAAAGCGAGACACUCUUUCUUAGUGAAAAAACUGCUCCAGCCCCUCUCUUUGGAUCCGGGAGCCCAGCUCUGUAACUGGAUACCAGCGCAUACCAAGAAAAAACUCAGCCAGUCAGAACAACUGGGGUAGUGGUGAGCACCAGCUCGCAGCUUACAGCACGGGGCACAUCCAUGCAGCUUGGGAGGAACUUCAGUCGGACAAAGAAGCAGGCCAAGAACGGAGUGAGGCGGCGAAGGCUAAGUUCUGUCCCCAGGCUAACCAGCCAUGAGCUCAAACGGUUGCCAUUAUUGUGAUCAGCCAGUUCACAGGGGAAACAAAGGAGAGGAAAAGGAGUGCCCAUGAUGUCCAUCAGCCAUGGGGCCUUGGCGCAGUGGCCAGCCGUGAUGAAAACUCCCAGGGCCCCAACAUGUUAACUCAGCGGAGCACUUUUGGAACUGGCUUCUUGUUGGUUGUCUGUGUCUUGUUCUGUAAAGGGAAAUGUUGUUGAUCCUCCAGUAAAUAUUGGCACAGUAUGUUUGACUGAAUGUUACUGACAAUGCAGUGAGAAAGGUCCAUAGUACCUCACAGUCUCACAACCCGCCUCUGCGUAGGUUGGGCUCUUGUAUGUGAAAAUGUGUUUGUAAUGUGACAGCACUUCUGUAAACCUUUUGGGAAAGGACUUCUCUGCAAAUUGAACACCAUUAUUCACAAUUAUCUGUGGACAUACCACAUAAUUGGGCUACUAAAUUAGUUAUGGGCUCAGCAACAGAAGGGGCUUCUCAGCAGUGCCUUGGGUGGCCAACUGAGGCACUGGAUGACAGGCCUCCUUCUUUGUGGGCCUCCCCUGAAGAAAAAGGGAGCGCUGCUUAUGGCUGGACCAGAUACAUUACCCCUAAGAAGGGCAAGCUCUACUUUUCCCCCUCAUGGUAUCAAAUUUAUUGUGGGGUUUCUGCAGCUGUCUUUGCGACUGCUAAUAUGAUUUUCCACUACAGUAUGGACGAUGUUUCUGAUAUUGCAUUUCUGUUUUGGUGCUACAUCCAGGAGGCCCACAGGUGGCAUCAGGCUGAGAGAACAGUGUGAACAACACAAUGCUCCACCCCUUGGGUUUCUAGUUGGGAGCUGUAAAGCCACAUGUCUUUGUCUAAGCCUCUCUAUGCUUUGCUUUCUGAGUCUGAGCAGAAAGAAGAUGUGAUGGCAUCCCAGUCUUGGGAGCAGCAGGAUCAGCUAGACUGCUGGAAAGCUCCUCCCUGCUGGUGGUGAUGGUAAGGAUUUCUACAGGUAGUGUUGGGUCUUCACUGUUGUGACAUGAGCAUUGUAGACAUCUGUUUUGCAGGAGCAGGCUCUGAAGGUGUGGAAAGAAGCAGUACCAGGGUCUCAAUCAGUAGGGGCAUCUUCUCUGUGCCCGAUGUUGCAGAGGAGCAGCUGCAGAAGUGGCAGAAACGAUCGGUGCAGCCACAGCCUCAGCCUCAGGUGCAACACGAUUCUCGGACACAAGAAACCUCUGUGACUGGUGGCAGACAUGCUUGACGUUUGGAUCUUGUCACGAACCCAGCUCUGACCGAGAUGACUCACAGGCCAGUGUGGACGCCCUCAAAAACCCCUUGCCUGUGUUGUAGCUGGCUCUGUAUUGAGGCUUCUCUUCGCCUGCACUGUUGGCAGAAGCACCUUGCAGGAUGUCUUGCUUCCCAUUCCUGUCCCCUGCUCUUGGAUGUCUCCGCUCCUGACACUCAAACUCUGACUUUGCCUGCUUCGAAUGGACUGACACUUUCCUUCAGCCUCGCACCCCUCUUGCCCAGCCGGGACAGCCAGAAGAUGGACACUGCUCAGCCUUGGCUCUGCUGCCUUGGUCAGCAUUGUGGUCUUCCUUUCCUGAGUACCUGAUAAUCUGCCUCUCCGGCCACUAACUACAUCAGUGUUGUCUUGGAGUCUCCUGUGAGAGGAGAGACGCUGUGCCCCUGGGGCUUAUAAAGAGGGAGGGCGUUCCCCCAAGAGGCACACUGGAUCUAGUCUUCCACCAAGUGAGAGUACCUGUGACUCUAUCCAUCACCUGCCCUGCCUAGCAUCCCCCCCCCCCGGUCUGAGGAAGCACCAGCUGCCACUGAGGGAUGGGCCUUGUCUGGGGCUACGCUGAGACUCUGGAAUCCAUUCCCUGCAGAAAUCAGAGCCUCCCCAUCUCAGACUACUUAAGACAUUGGACACAUUUCUUCACCCAAGCUUUUAAAGUAGAUGUGGCUUUAACUUCCUGGUCUUUGACUGUAAUAAAGAUGUGUAUCUGAAGGUUUUAGUUGA
Molecule: long non-coding RNA, 3644 nt
Organism: Hemicordylus capensis (graceful crag lizard)
Lineage: Eukaryota; Metazoa; Chordata; Lepidosauria; Squamata; Cordylidae
Exons: 5
Source: RefSeq, a predicted model, not a curated record